This 115-nucleotide small nuclear RNA is filed under the name Canis lupus familiaris (dog). RNAcentral's name for it is "U4 spliceosomal RNA (ENSCAFG00000047113.2, ENSCAFG00030010153.1, ENSCAFG00040017279.1, ENSCAFG00845024917.1)". It matches the Rfam family "U4 spliceosomal RNA". Rfam says of the family: U4 small nuclear RNA (U4 snRNA) is a component of the major U2-dependent spliceosome. The structure of U4 snRNA from yeast and human has been reported. U4 snRNA presents a k-turn RNA motif in the 5p-SL related to recognition of Snu13 protein. Lineage: Eukaryota; Metazoa; Chordata; Mammalia; Carnivora; Canidae. RNAcentral also lists the same sequence under 1 other name. The record is from Rfam by way of RNAcentral.
AGCUUUGCGCAGUGGCAGUAUCGUAGCCAAUGAGGUUUAUCCGAGGCGCGAUUAUUGCAAAAAUAAGUAUACCACUAGAUCUGAAGUUGUGAAUAAUUGGAUGAAGAUUCAGCUG